RNAcentral lists this ribosomal RNA (410 nucleotides) under uncultured bacterium. Its description in RNAcentral is "bacterial SSU rRNA". It matches the Rfam family "Bacterial small subunit ribosomal RNA", at positions 355 to 775 of the family's 1533-position model. The record is from RNAcentral.
UGGGGAAUAUUGCACAAUGGGCGAAAGCCUGAUGCAGCGACGCCGCGUGAGGGAUGACGGCCUUCGGGUUGUAAACCUCUUUCACCAUUGACGAAGCCUUCGGGUGACGGUAGGUGGGGAAGAAGCACCGGCUAACUACGUGCCAGCAGCCGCGGUAAUACGUAGGGUGCGAGCGUUGUCCGGAAUUAUUGGGCGUAAAGAGCUCGUAGGCGGUUUGUUGCGUCUAUCGUGAAAACCUGCGGCUUAACUGUGGGCUUGCGGUGGAUACGGGCAGACUUGAGUUCGGUAGGGGAGACUGGAAUUCCUGGUGUAGCGGUGAAAUGCGCAGAUAUCAGGAGGAACACCGGUGGCGAAGGCGGGUCUCUGGGCCGAAACUGACGCUGAGGAGCGAAAGCGUGGGGAGCGAACAG